GAUGAACGCUGGCGGCGUGCUUAACACAUGCAAGUCGAACGGAAAGGCCCAAGCUUGCUUGGGUACUCGAGUGGCGAACGGGUGAGUAACACGUGGGUGAUCUGCCCUGCACUUCGGGAUAAGCCUGGGAAACUGGGUCUAAUACUGGAUAGGACCACUUCUUGGAUGUUGUGGUGGAAAGUUUUUUCGGUGUGGGAUGAGCUCGCGGCCUAUCAGCUUGUUGGUGGUGUAAUGGCCUACCAAGGCGUCGACGGGUAGCCGGCCUGAGAGGGUGUACGGCCACAUUGGGACUGAGAUACGGCCCAGACUCCUACGGGAGGCAGCAGUGGGGAAUAUUGCACAAUGGGCGCAAGCCUGAUGCAGCGACGCCGCGUGGGGGAUGACGGCCUUCGGGUUGUAAACUCCUUUCGCUAGGGACGAAGCGUUUUGUGACGGUACCUGGAGAAGAAGCACCGGCUAACUACGUG
This 467-nucleotide ribosomal RNA is filed under the name uncultured bacterium. Its description in RNAcentral is "partial 16S ribosomal RNA". It matches the Rfam family "Bacterial small subunit ribosomal RNA", at positions 28 to 507 of the family's 1533-position model. The record is from RNAcentral.